GUAGCGUGAAGGAUGACUGCCCUAUGGGUUGUAAACUUCUUUUAUAAAGGAAUAAAGUCGGGUAUGCAUACCCGUUUGCAUGUACUUUAUGAAUAAGGAUCGGCUAACUCCGUGCCAGCAGCCGCGGUAAUACGGAGGAUCCGAGCGUUAUCCGGAUUUAUUGGGUUUAAAGGGAGCGUAGAUGGAUGUUUAAGUCAGUUGUGAAAGUUUGCGGCUCAACCGUAAAAUUGCAGUUGAUGCUGGAUGUCUUGAGUGCAGUUGAGGCAGGCGGAAUUCGUGGUGUAGCGGUGAAAUGCUUAGAUAUCACGAAGAACUCCGAUUGCGAAGGCAGCCUGCUAAGCUGCAACUGACAUUGAGGCUCGAAAGUGUGGGUAUCAAACAGGAUUGGAUACCCUGGUAGUCCACACGGUAAACGAUGAAUACUCGCUGUUUGCGAUAUACGGCAAGCGGCCAAGCGAAAGCGUUAAGUAUUCCACCUGGGGAGUACG
Molecule: ribosomal RNA, 488 nt
Filed under: uncultured bacterium
Lineage: Bacteria
Description: bacterial SSU rRNA
Rfam family: Bacterial small subunit ribosomal RNA
Source: RNAcentral